CCCUUUAGUGCGCCAGUAUCCAAUCCAUUCCACUUGUUCACGUCACUUCCUGUUUGGAGUUCACGCGCAUCUGACUGUCUAGUUUAACGUUCACUUUGUACAAAACCAGCACAUCUUUGCUUUUUUGUCUUCACUGUGUCACUGUUCCGUGACACUCUGCUCUCUGUGUUGAUCGGUGCUAAGCCGGCUAGCAUUAGCAGCCUGACAUACAGGUGUGGAUUCUUCUGUUGCUGGAUGCUUCGGCAUCUAGACCAUCAGAAUGCCUCCACCGAGGAAAAGAUUCAACAAACCUGGCUAACGAACUGUAAGAUCUUCAGCAAACUAAAUGGGACGCCGGAGGAAGCAAAAGUCUUGGUGAACACAGACCACACCAAGUGUUGAUAUGGACAUGUUACAGAAGAACCUACAACAUCAUAACUGGGAAUGUGAGCCUAUUGGCCAUGGGGACCAGUUGCUGGGUCUCUGCCAUACCAGAGUCCAUUUGGAUAGACUGGAGAUGCAGCAGAUGAAGAGACAGGGCUGCGGAGCUACCACUGAGCGCCGGGACGGACAAGCUUCACAGUGUCUUGGCUGAAUGAGCAGACUUUCCAGGUCAGCUCCAGAGUAAAGAUCAGUCUUAGCAGCCAGCUCCUCCAAACAUACAUCAGGACCCACUGGCAUGGACUUUGUGCACACUUUCAGGAUGGCGAGACGGGCCUAAUCACACAACAACAGACCCAGAAUUGACAAGAUCUGCGGGUCGGGGGAACCUGCCUGUCUUGUUGGAACAGUUGUUGCCGGACACACAACAGAAUCUUGACAGAAAAGGAGGGUCGCGAGCCUGGCGAACCUUUCAGGGUAAACGUUGCUCUGGUGUAUCGACAAAUUGAAAGAUGGUGGCAGCCGUUCAAGGUCAAAGCGAUCACAAAUGAUUGGAGGUAGGGCUGGGCAAUAUAUCGAUAUACUCGAUAUAUUGCGGGUUUGUCUCUGUGCGAUAUAGAGAAUGACCAUAUCGUAAUAUUCGAGUAUACAUUCUCACGCAGUUGUUUUUAGCUGCUGGCAUUACACUACAGGCUCUUCUCACUCUUUCUUGUCUCCUUCUCACAGACAGCAAGCGCACCUUCUUACAUACAUCACAUACGUAUACGCCCUCGCACAGCAGAGAGGUAGCAGCAUGAGUAACGUUAGCUGUGGUGCGAGUGGUAAUACGAGAGAAAGAAGGUGCGAAUCUGGUAACAAAUGAAGGAAUAAUUAAUUCCCAAGAAAAACAGCACAGGGUCCAUCAUCUGGCGGUGGUUCGGCUUCAAUCGGGAAUAUGUCAAAUAGACAACUUUAAUUUGUCAAGUGUGGGGAAAAAGCGUUGCUACAAAAAGUAGCAUUACUAGUAAUAUGUAGCAUCAUAUGAAAAGUCACCCGCUAGAGAAUGAAGAGUGCUUACUCCGCAUCUUAAGAUCUCCAUUCGGUGCAACACCAACUAAAUGCCUAGGCAACCAUUUCCACAGCAACACGGUAUGAAAAAAAUAGUGAACAACAUAAGAAGAUAACGUCCGCUGUAACCUAGCACAUAGCGAUUUUAUUUCCUAAUAUGCUGCUAUUUUUUAUUUGACAGUUAUUGAAAUAUUUUGUGUGACAUCAUGCACAAAACUGCACUUUAUUUGUUUUAAACUAUUGUAGUGGAGUUCUGUACGAAAAGUGCACUUUAAUUUAGUUUUGUUUUGAUAUUUCAUCUUAUUGACAUCAUGCAAAAAAGUUCACUUAUAGCUAGUUUUAAAAUGUCUCUGACAAUCUUGCACUUUCUGUUUUGAAAUGACAUGAAUGUCUGUGCCACUGCUUGAUAACUGUUUAAUAAAUACAGUUUUGGUCAAUUGACUUAGUAGUGAUUUCCCUCUCUACAUGAAAGUUUAAAACGAGCAUAUAUUAAUGCGGUAUGAACAAGAAUGUUUUAAUGUAGACAGAUAGAAUCCCCAUACUGCUGUGAUUAUAUGCAUCAAGUGUUAAUUCAAGGCCAAGGCAAAAUAUUGAGAUAUAAAUCGUGUAUCGUCACAUUGCCUAAAAAUAUCGAGAUAUUAAAAAAAGGCCAUAUCGCUCAGCCCUUAUUGGAGGAUGCGGGCAGAACGCUGAACACUGAAAACUUUUGUGAUUUUGGAUAAAUCGCAAAAUGGAUAACAUUGGAGACGCCGUUUGCCCCUCUGGAUGGAUUUGAGGACACAGAAAUAGACAAUUAGAUUAAAACAUUUAAAUUCGUUUUGUUCGCUCACACACAAACACUCUAAUUUUGAUAGUUUUCCCUGGCUGGGACGUAGCAAGUUUGUUCUUUCAAGAUUCUCCUUGAGGUGAGUGCAGCUGCAGAAGCAACAACCUCCUUCCCGGUCAACAACACCCGAACAGAUGAACUCUGUUUCUGCAGAGGAAUUUCAGGCCUACAGACAUAACACACAUAUGGAUAAUGGAUGCAUAUGCACACAUACCCCCACCCACACCCCACGCCUCUGCAACAUCUUAACUCCUUAAGGUGCGAUGGGCACCUGGAGCAGCACCAAAAGGGAAGCAGCUCUGCCUACGGAAGUACCUCCCCUGCUCUUACUGUCACAAGUUUUGUGGUUUCUGUGUGUGUGUGCUUAUCGUGGCUCUCAAGUUUUUUUUCCGCGCCCAGCCUGAGCUUGCAUUGGAGCACAGUCUAGGAGUAUUUUUUUUCUUACUCAUCACCCCACGCCCAGCAUUCUCCUUUUCCCCACCUGUUACGGGGCGCCGUAGGUGGCGACCCAUCAGCGUUCAUGUUCUGUCUCGCUGUACCAAUAAUGUAUUCUCUUGAACGGGUUUGGGCUUAAAAUUAAAUUUCAUUGUACCUGUGCAAAGACAAAAAAGUUAUUAUUUCCAAAAAGUGUGCUAAAUACCAUAAGACGUGAUAAAAAUGGGAUUAAAAAUAACAUUUUAGAUGCACUGCAGAUUAAUGUAAAAUCCUAUCUUCUUUUAUUUACACACCUUAUUGUACUGAUUUUGUCAAGCUAUAUUUUAAUGAAGCCAAAUAGCUAACCUGCUGGUCUGGUGGUGGUACGUAAAUAAUUUGGUCCAGUCUGCCAGGCCUCAGUAGAGCACUGUCCAAACAGUCUGGUCUGUUUGUGGCUGCUACAACCAUCACAUCUUUGUUACAAACCUCCUGGCAGUUCAACUGUCAAAAAGCAGAUAUAUUUAAUUGCGUCAAAUGGUCAGACAUUCAUAAAAACACAUAUUUGCGGAAUGCCCAACCUGCUUAUGAGUGUGGUUUCCCAUUUCUCCGUCUACUUGGAGGAUCUUCUGCUCUCCUCUCCUUUCCAGCGUCUUCAGACCGACACCGUCCAUCUCAUUGAGAAGCACAGAUAAGAGUCGAGUCUGAACACUAUUAGGUGCCUGACUGCAGGACCGCGAGCCAAUCAGAGAGUCAAUCUCGUCGAGGAACAGGAUGCAAGGAGCGCAGGCCCGUGCCUGGCGAAACAACUGCACAUGUUGCACAUAUGCACACGUAAGUUUGCAGAAAAAACACAGAAAUAGAGCAGCCAAUCACAGUCGAGCACCUGUGACAAAGCCUUCUCUGAGUCUCCCACAUAGGGAGAAUAGAGGUCAGCACCACUGACAGACAGGAAGGUGCAGUGGGAGCCGGAGGCUGUUGCUCGGACCAGCGACGUCUUAGAACAUCCUGGAGGGCCAUAUAGAAGAACACCACGAGGGCUACACAGACCAAGACGAGUAAAGGCCUCGGGGUACAUCAUCGGCCACUCAAGACUCUGCAAUGACCACACACAGAGGAGGAGCACAUAAGAGAGGACAUCAAACAGCAUCAACAGGACAAUUAGGGAACGGUCCUACUGAUUCUGCAUUAUGGCCUCCGAUUUGGUCCCAAGUUACGGGAGAGAUGUCUGUCCUCCCCAGGCUGCUACGCAGGCAGGAGGGCUGCACCAACUUCAAAGCCUCCAGGAAAUGCUUCAUACCCACUACCUGCUCUCCUGAACCCUACUUACAAUAAACCAACUUCAGCAUGCAUGGCGGCCUCCCUGCAGAGGGCGCUGAGGUCUGACCCGACAUAACCUGUGGUCCUCUUUGCCAGUUCUGCUAUCUCCACCAUGGGACAAACUGGCAUCUUUUCACAAAGAACAGACAAGAUGGCAGCUCUCUGCUGCAAGGCCUGCGCAGUGCUGGGUCUAAGCUGUCCGGUCGGUUGGUGGCACCGACAACCAGGAAUCGAUCUGACUGGUCCACCCCGUCCAUUAGUGUGAGGAGCUGAGCCACCAGGCGGUUCUCUGGUGCUGAUGACCCAGUCCUUCUCGGACACAGAGAGUCUAACUCGUCUAAGAACAGCACGCAGGGACCCUCCUCUGCUGCGGUGCGAGCCUGCACAAACAUGGCUCGCAACCUCUCCUCGCUCUCACCAGGCUUGCUCCCACUUCUCCCACCACUUUGCGCACCAGUUGGGUCUUCCCAACACCUGGAGGCCCAACCAGCAGCAAGCCUCUUGGACAAGACACACCCAGAGCACCAAGAGUGCCUGGAUAGAGCAAUGGCAGCUGCAACAUCUCCAUCAGCAACGCACUCACCUAAGCAAAAGCAAAAACUCACUAUGUGCAAUAUGGUGGAAAACAUUAGGUAAUUAGAGAGACAUUGUUGUAGAUCAGUGUUUCUCAAAUGGGAGUACGCGUACCCCUGGGGUUACUUGAAGGUAUGCCAAGGGGUAAGUGAGAUUUUAAAAAAAAUAUUCUAAAAAUAGCAACAAUUCAAAAAAUCCUUUAUAAAUGUAUUUAUUUGUUGAUGACUGAAGUACUGAUAUCAACCAAAGCUCCUCAUCCCACCCCCCGGAUUGUAAAUAAUGUAAAUAAAUCAAUGUAUAUACUAUGAUGAUUAACUUGUGUGAUGGCUGUAUUAUGCUGAUAGUAUAUAUCUGUACCACGAAUGGAUUAACGUGGACCCCGACUUAAACAAGUUGAAGAACUUAUUGAGGUGUUAACAUUUAGUGGUCAAUUGUACGGAAUAUGUACUGUACUGUGCAAUCUACUGAUAAAAGUUUCAAUCAAUCAAUCAAUAAAUUGAAAAAUAGCAACAAUUCAAAAAUCCUUUAUAAAUAUAUUUUAUGAAUAAUACUUCAACAAAAUAUGAAUGUAAGUUCAUAAAUGGUGAAAAGAAAUGCAACAAUGCAAUAUUCAAAUGUUGACAGCUAGAUUUUUUUGUGGACAUGUUCCAUAAAUAUUAAUAUUAAAGAUUUAUUUUUCUGUGAAGAAAUCUUUAGAAUUAAGUUCAUGAAUCCAGAUGGAUCUCUAUUACAAUCCCCAAAGAGGGCACUUUAAGUUGAUGAUUACUUCUGAGUAUAAAUCUUUAUUUAUAAUUGAAUCACUUGUUUAUUUUACAACAAGUUUUUAGUUAUUUGCAUAUCUUUUUUUCCAAAUAGUUAAAAAAAGACCACUACAAAUGAGCAAUAUUGUGCACUGUUAUACAGUUGAAAAAAUCAGAAACUUAUGACAUAGUGCUGUAUUUUACUUCUUUAUCUCUUUUUUUCAACCAAAAAGGCUUUGCUCUGAUUAGGGGGUACUUGAAUUAAAAAAAUGUUCACAGGGGGUGCGUCACUGAAAAAAGGUUAAGAGCUACUGUUGUAGAUGACCGCAAUAUAUCCCGCCAAAUCAUGUCUGGAUUGUAGUUUUCCAUUAUAACACAACAUAUAUUUUUUAGUUUAAAAAAAAGCAUGCAUUGAUUGGUCGCUGUUGAGAUCUUAAGUUCACCUGUGUUCAGCAAAAUAAAUCUGGCAUGUUUUUUUCCCUGUUUUUUAGAUUUGCUGUGUUUGCCCGCGCUCAUAAACACAUUGCAAUGGGACUGUCUGUGUAGCUUGUCA
Nerophis ophidion (straightnose pipefish) is the source of this 5830-nucleotide long non-coding RNA. RefSeq lists it as uncharacterized. The transcript is spliced from 10 exons. The record is from RefSeq and is a predicted model, not a curated record. NCBI's taxonomy places the organism in Eukaryota, Metazoa, Chordata, Actinopteri, Syngnathiformes, Syngnathidae.